RNAcentral lists this ribosomal RNA (491 nucleotides) under uncultured bacterium. Its description in RNAcentral is "partial 16S ribosomal RNA". It matches the Rfam family "Bacterial small subunit ribosomal RNA", at positions 29 to 506 of the family's 1533-position model. The record is from RNAcentral.
AGUGAGCGCUGGCGGUAGGCCUAACACAUGCGAGUCGAACGGCAGCACAGUAAGAGCUUGCUCUUACGGGUGGCGAGUGGCGGACGGGUGAGGAAUACAUCGGAAUCUACUUUUUCGUGGGGGAUAACGUAGGGAAACUUACGCUAAUACCGCAUACGACCUACGGGUGAAAGCAGGGGAUCUUCGGACCUUGCGCGAUUGAAUGAGCCGAUGUCGGAUUAGCUAGUUGGCGGGGUAAAGGCCCACCAAGGCGACGAUCCGUAGCUGGUCUGAGAGGAUGAUCAGCCACACUGGAACUGAGACACGGUCCAGACUCCUACGGGAGGCAGCAGUGGGGAAUAUUGGACAAUGGGCGCAAGCCUGAUCCAGCCAUACCGCGUGGGUGAAGAAGGCCUUCGGGUUGUAAAGCCCUUUUGUUGGGAAAGAAAAGCAGCAGGUUAAUACCCCGCUGUUCUGACGGUACCCAAAGAAUAAGCACCGGCUAACUUCGU